UGCAACCUGAGCUCAGUCGUGAUUACCCGCUGA
RNAcentral lists this ribosomal RNA (33 nucleotides) under Heterorhabditis zealandica. RNAcentral describes it as "partial 28S ribosomal RNA". The record is from RNAcentral. Lineage: Eukaryota; Metazoa; Nematoda; Chromadorea; Rhabditida; Heterorhabditidae.